AACGAACGCUGGCGGCAGGCCUAACACAUGCAAGUCGAGCGCGCCCUUCGGGGUGAGCGGCGGACGGGUGAGUAACGCGUGGGAAUAUGCCCUUCUCUACGGAAUAGCCUCGGGAAACUGAGAGUAAUACCGUAUACGCCCUUUUGGGGAAAGAUUUAUCGGAGAAGGAUUAGCCCGCGUUGGAUUAGGUAGUUGGUGGGGUAAUGGCCUACCAAGCCGACGAUCCAUAGCUGGUUUGAGAGGAUGAUCAGCCACACUGGGACUGAGACACGGCCCAGACUCCUACGGGAGGCAGCAGUGGGGAAUCUUAGACAAUGGGGGCAACCCUGAUCUAGCCAUGCCGCGUGAGUGAUGAAGGCCUUAGGGUUGUAAAGCUCUUUCAGCUGGGAAGAUAAUGACGGUACCAGCAGAAGAAGCCCCGGCUAACUCCGUGCCAGCCGCCGCAGUAA
This 449-nucleotide ribosomal RNA is filed under the name uncultured bacterium. RNAcentral's name for it is "partial 16S ribosomal RNA". It matches the Rfam family "Bacterial small subunit ribosomal RNA", at positions 29 to 523 of the family's 1533-position model. The record is from RNAcentral.